Molecule: long non-coding RNA, 522 nt
Organism: Oncorhynchus keta (chum salmon)
Lineage: Eukaryota; Metazoa; Chordata; Actinopteri; Salmoniformes; Salmonidae
Exons: 3
Source: RefSeq, a predicted model, not a curated record
AUCUCUGGAACAGGUUUAUCCAUCUCUGGAACAGGUUUAUCCAUCUCUGGAACAGACACGGUGUAGGUUUAUCCAUCUCUGGAACAGGUUUAUCCAUCUCUGGAACAGGUUUAUCCAUCUCUGGAACAGGUUUAUCCAUCUCUGGAACAGAUUAACCCAUCUCUGGAACAGGUUUAUCCAUCUCUGGAACAGAUUUAUCCAUCUCUGGAACAGGUUUAUCCAUCUCUGGAACAGGUUUAUCCAUCUCUGGAACAGGUUUAUCCAUCUCUGGAACAGGUUUAUCCAUCUCUGGAACAGGUUUACCCAUCUCUGGAACAGAUUUAUCGAUCUCUGGAACAGACACCGUGUAGGUUUACCCAUCUCUGGAACAGGUUUAUCCACCUCUGGAACAGGUUUAUCCAUCUCUGGAACAGACACCGUGUAGGUUUACCCAUCUCUGGAACAGAUUUAUCGAUCUCUGGAACAGACACCGUGUAGGUUUACCCAUCUCUGGAACAGGUUUAUCCAUCUCUGGAACAGGUU